Molecule: ribosomal RNA, 902 nt
Filed under: uncultured bacterium
Lineage: Bacteria
Description: bacterial SSU rRNA
Rfam family: Bacterial small subunit ribosomal RNA
Source: RNAcentral
AGAGUUUGAUCCUGGCUCAGGACGAACGCUGGCGGCGUGCUUAACACAUGCAAGUCGAACGGAGGAUACAUUGAAACCUAGUGAUAUGUAACCUUAGUGGCGGACGGGUGAGUAACGCGUGGAUAACCUGCCUAUCUGACCGGGACAACACCUGGAAACGGGUGCUAAUACCGGAUACGCUCAUCUAGUCAAAAGAAUAGAUGAGGAAAAGGGGAAACCCGCAGACAGAUGGGUCCGCGUCCCAUUAGCUAGUUGGGGGUGUAAGAGACCCCCAAGGCGACGAUGGGUGGCCGGCCUGAGAGGGUGACCGGCCACACUGGAACUGAGACACGGUCCAGACUCCUACGGGAGGCAGCAGUGGGGAAUCUUCCGCAAUGGGCACAAGCCUGACGGAGCAACGCCGCGUGAGUGAAGAAGGCCUUCGGGUUGUAAAACUCUGUCAUCAGGGAAGAAGAAAGUGACGGUACCUGAGGAGGAAGCCCCGGCUAACUACGUGCCAGCAGCCGCGGUAAAACGUAGGGGGCGAGCGUUGUCCGGAAUUACUGGGCGUAAAGGGCGCGUAGGCGGUUAUCCAAGUCAGGGGUGAAAACCUUGGGCUCAACUCAGGGCCUGCCUCUGAAACUGGGUAACUUGAGGGCAGGAGAGGGGAGUGGAAUUCCCAGUGUAGCGGUGAAAUGCGUAGAUAUCACAAGGAACACCGAUUGCGGAGGCAGCUUACUAAACCGUUACUGACGCUCAUGCACGAAGGCGUGGGGGAUCAAACAGGAUUAGAUACCCUGGUAGUCCACGCAGUAAACGAUGAUUACUUGCUGUUUGCGAUACACAGAAAGCGGCGAAGCGAAAGCGUUAAGUAAUCCACCUGGGGAGUACGUUCGCAAGAAUGAACUCAAAGGAAUUGACGG